This 2933-nucleotide ribosomal RNA is filed under the name Bacillus velezensis. Its description in RNAcentral is "bacterial LSU rRNA". It matches the Rfam family "Bacterial large subunit ribosomal RNA". The record is from RNAcentral. Lineage: Bacteria; Bacillati; Bacillota; Bacilli; Caryophanales; Bacillaceae.
CGGUUAAGUUAGAAAGGGCGCACGGUGGAUGCCUUGGCACUAGGAGCCGAUGAAGGACGGGACGAACACCGAUAUGCUUCGGGGAGCUGUAAGCAAGCUUUGAUCCGGAGAUUUCCGAAUGGGGAAACCCACCACUCGUAAUGGAGUGGUAUCCAUAUCUGAAUACAUAGGAUAUGAGAAGGCAGACCCGGGGAACUGAAACAUCUAAGUACCCGGAGGAAGAGAAAGCAAAUGCGAUUCCCUGAGUAGCGGCGAGCGAAACGGGACCAGCCCAAACCAAGAGGCUUGCCUCUUGGGGUUGUAGGACACUCUGUACGGAGUUACAAAGGAACGAGGUAGAUGAAGAGGUCUGGAAAGGCCCGCCAUAGGAGGUAACAGCCCUGUAGUCAAAACUUCGUUCUCUCCUGAGUGGAUCCUGAGUACGGCGGAACACGUGAAAUUCCGUCGGAAUCCGGGAGGACCAUCUCCCAAGGCUAAAUACUCCCUAGUGACCGAUAGUGAACCAGUACCGUGAGGGAAAGGUGAAAAGCACCCCGGAAGGGGAGUGAAAGAGAUCCUGAAACCGUGUGCCUACAAGUAGUCAGAGCCCGUUAACGGGUGAUGGCGUGCCUUUUGUAGAAUGAACCGGCGAGUUACGAUCCCGUGCAAGGUUAAGCAGAAGAUGCGGAGCCGCAGCGAAAGCGAGUCUGAAUAGGGCGAAUUGAGUACGUGGUCGUAGACCCGAAACCAGGUGAUCUACCCAUGUCCAGGGUGAAGUUCAGGUAACACUGAAUGGAGGCCCGAACCCACGCACGUUGAAAAGUGCGGGGAUGAGGUGUGGGUAGGGGUGAAAUGCCAAUCGAACCUGGAGAUAGCUGGUUCUCUCCGAAAUAGCUUUAGGGCUAGCCUCAAGGUAAGAGUCUCGGAGGUAGAGCACUGAUUGGACUAGGGGCCCCUACCGGGUUACCGAAUUCAGUCAAACUCCGAAUGCCGAUGACUUAUCCUUGGGAGUCAGACUGCGAGUGAUAAGAUCCGUAGUCGAAAGGGAAACAGCCCAGACCGCCAGCUAAGGUCCCAAAGUAUACGUUAAGUGGAAAAGGAUGUGGAGUUGCUUAGACAACCAGGAUGUUGGCUUAGAAGCAGCCACCAUUUAAAGAGUGCGUAAUAGCUCACUGGUCGAGUGACUCUGCGCCGAAAAUGUACCGGGGCUAAACGUAUCACCGAAGCUGCGGACUGUUCUUCGAACAGUGGUAGGAGAGCGUUCUAAGGGCUGUGAAGCAAGACCGGAAGGACUUGUGGAGCGCUUAGAAGUGAGAAUGCCGGUAUGAGUAGCGAAAGAGGGGUGAGAAUCCCCUCCACCGAAUGCCUAAGGUUUCCUGAGGAAGGCUCGUCCGCUCAGGGUUAGUCGGGACCUAAGCCGAGGCCGAAAGGCGUAGGCGAUGGAUAACAGGUUGAUAUUCCUGUACCACCUCCUCACCAUUUGAGCAAUGGGGGGACGCAGGAGGAUAGGGUAAGCGCGGUAUUGGAUAUCCGCGUCCAAGCAGUUAGGCUGGGAAAUAGGCAAAUCCGUUUCCCGUGAAGGCUGAGCUGUGAUGGCGAGCGAAUUAUAGUAGCGAAGUUCCUGAUUCCACACUGCCAAGAAAAGCCUCUAGCGAGGUGAGAGGUGCCCGUACCGCAAACCGACACAGGUAGGCGAGGAGAGAAUCCUAAGGUGAUCGAGAGAACUCUCGUUAAGGAACUCGGCAAAAUGACCCCGUAACUUCGGGAGAAGGGGUGCUCUGUUAGGGUGCAAGCCCGAGAGAGCCGCAGUGAAUAGGCCCAGGCGACUGUUUAGCAAAAACACAGGUCUCUGCGAAGCCGUAAGGCGAAGUAUAGGGGCUGACGCCUGCCCGGUGCUGGAAGGUUAAGAGGAGCGCUUAGCGUAAGCGAAGGUGCGAAUUGAAGCCCCAGUAAACGGCGGCCGUAACUAUAACGGUCCUAAGGUAGCGAAAUUCCUUGUCGGGUAAGUUCCGACCCGCACGAAAGGCGCAACGAUCUGGGCACUGUCUCAACGAGAGACUCGGUGAAAUUAUAGUACCUGUGAAGAUGCAGGUUACCCGCGACAGGACGGAAAGACCCCGUGGAGCUUUACUGCAGCCUGAUAUUGAAUGUUGGUACAGCUUGUACAGGAUAGGUAGGAGCCUUGGAAACCGGAGCGCCAGCUUCGGUGGAGGCAUCGGUGGGAUACUACCCUGGCUGUAUUGACCUUCUAACCCGCCGCCCUUAUCGGGCGGGGAGACAGUGUCAGGUGGGCAGUUUGACUGGGGCGGUCGCCUCCUAAAAGGUAACGGAGGCGCCCAAAGGUUCCCUCAGAAUGGUUGGAAAUCAUUCGCAGAGUGUAAAGGCACAAGGGAGCUUGACUGCGAGACCUACAAGUCGAGCAGGGACGAAAGUCGGGCUUAGUGAUCCGGUGGUUCCGCAUGGAAGGGCCAUCGCUCAACGGAUAAAAGCUACCCCGGGGAUAACAGGCUUAUCUCCCCAAGAGUCCACAUCGACGGGGAGGUUUGGCACCUCGAUGUCGGCUCAUCGCAUCCUGGGGCUGUAGUCGGUCCCAAGGGUUGGGCUGUUCGCCCAUUAAAGCGGUACGCGAGCUGGGUUCAGAACGUCGUGAGACAGUUCGGUCCCUAUCCGUCGCGGGCGCAGGAAAUUUGAGAGGAGCUGUCCUUAGUACGAGAGGACCGGGAUGGACGCACCGCUGGUGUACCAGUUGUUCUGCCAAGGGCAUCGCUGGGUAGCUAUGUGCGGACGGGAUAAGUGCUGAAAGCAUCUAAGCAUGAAGCCCCCCUCAAGAUGAGAUUUCCCAUUCCGCAAGGAAGUAAGAUCCCUGAAAGAUGAUCAGGUUGAUAGGUCUGAGGUGGAAGUGUGGCGACACAUGGAGCUGACAGAUACUAAUCGAUCGAGGACUUAACCAAUUU